UGAAAUCUUUGACCACAAUUCAUUUGCCUUCAGUAGCACCAUAAUUUUGCCCUUAAUUGAGCCUGUUAAUAAAAUAACUGUGAUUUUUAUGCUAAUUGUGAACAAAUACAUUUUCAAGGAGGAAACAUGAGUGAUAAAAUACUAUACCACUGAAAAUUACAUCCAGACCUGAAGCUAAUAAGGAACAUCUGUUAUUUUUCUUUAUUGCCUAAGAUAUUAAAUAGCUAUCAGUAGUCAUGGUAGGCUCCAGUUAAGAAUUUUCCAGCACUGAUGGCACAAGUAUCAGUUUCAUGUGUGACUUGAGAUAAUUUUCCAUGUGUAUUUUAUUGUAAUUUAUUUUCCUUCUUUAAUAAUAAUAAUAAUAAUAAUAAUAACUUAGUUACAGUGUUAAUGAAUAUGGUGUGUUCUGCUUAAAUACUGUCAUUGACAGUGAAGACAUCCAACCAGCUAGAGUGUUUCUUAAACUGUUUUUGUUGCCUCAGACCAGUUUCAAGGUAGUAUGGCUACUGCAAUACUCUGUAAGAGUUGAAGAGAAGAACUUGCUGAAAACAGCAAAGGACCUGUUUCCAAAGGUGCUGCUGAACCUGCUAGCAAGAUAAAGAAGAAAAUCAACCAUGAGAAAAUUGAAAUAAAUAAUGUGAGGAGAGCAGAAGAAUGUGGAAAACCCAUGUGCACCUGCUUACCUUGCUGCAGCUUGCAUGCAGACUAUGACUCCUCCCACCUCCGUGAUGUGUUUGAAGAGAUGUUUCUCCGUAUCCCCUGCAGGAAUGCUCUGAACAUUGCCUUACUCCUGAUCUAGUCUUGCCUGAGGUAAAAGCUCAAGGUCUUCUCCUUAACAAGAAGUAGUAUCAUACUGCAAACAGUGUUUUAUGUACUCCAGCCUUAUACUACACUUUCAUAUUUUAGGGGCUUGGCUGGAAAGGAAAUUGAAUUGCUGGACCUUUUUCUGUCUUGCAUUUCCUAGAUUCAGUGACUGACAAAUCAAUUUCAAAUCUGACUUGAUGAUCAGAAGUGCAAAUCUUUUAAAAACUUGAGUUUUGGAUUCAGGCUCUGACACUGUUCAAAUCCUCAGCUAACAGCAGGAUGCUCAGAGAAUUUAGCCAGCAGCAUGCUCCAAUUUAGAAUUUCCUGCAAGUUCAUGGCUGAAUUUCAUGAAGACUGCUCUGCCACUGACAUCUUCUCCUGGCAAUGUGACAGAAAAUAAAUUGAAUAAUUUUAUCGUCAGAUGUUACAGGCUCCAUAAUACCAAACAUAUUGUAGUCACACUGUGUUCUAGCUUUGGAAAAUGCUAUAACCUCUUCACAGAAAAUGGUUGUAAUAGGUGGUGAACAUCGCUCAGUACUCAGAGCAAGGCCUGAGGCCUCUGCAACUGAUUCCUUUGAAAAAGUUGGCCUACAAGGCAUCAGACCUUUUGCUGUAGGUCUAGGCUCACAAAACCCAGCCAUUUUAAGUUUCCCUUUCUGCAGUCUGCUUGGCAAAAUGGGAAGAGUUUAUCCAAACUGAAGGAAUUUUGGCAGUCUUACCUUCUGGCAACCGGUACAGCUACAGGGGCUUCCCCAUCAUUUCCUGUCAGGCUGCCCCAACUUGGUGGAGGCGCAUGAGGGUGCACAGCAUCGGCAGCUGGGAUGUAGCUCUGGCUGUGCUUGCUGGGUACUGGGAACUACUGCCACAAGAGCAACAAGCUCAGCUGAACAAACUUUGCAUCAGUGAGUGGGCUUGGCCAACCCGCACCUGGGGGUGUGGUGCUGUGGCUAUCUCAUCUGGCUUAGUUUGUAAGAGAAAAAUACAGCACAGUGACUUUGCUAGCAAGUCACUUUGAAAACAUUCUUUCCCAAAGUAGCAUGUCAUUGGUUUUGAGCUCACUGAAGCCCCUUUCUUCUUAGACAACACGAUGGAUGCCUGUAAAGAAUUGCAUAUGGACAAGAGCAAGUGUUCAUAUGAGUCUUACUAAUUGAGUUGCUUGAGAUGCUGCUGGCUGUACAAAGAGAUGCAAACAUCAACCUUACAAAACUCAUCAUAACCUUCCUGCCAGUUGUAGGGCAUGCAAGAAUGUUGGAAUCCUGCUGAGCAUGGUCGCUUUUCUUUGGAGUGGUUGUGCUUUGGAUGGUUUGUCUUUUCUCAACAGGAGACCAGAAGUCUACUGAUUCACUGUUCCUUUUAGCCAGAGGAAAAGGAUGCUGCCUGAGAAGAGCUGGGAAGAAUGUAAGUUAAUCAUAAAAAGCAUUUGCACUUUAAAAACAAGAAAGCAGGUAUCUCAGCUUUAGUGAAAAAGAAAGCCGGUGUGGUUUAUCAUUUACAAGCUCAGGUAUGAAUCAGUAUGGAGAACCCAUUGGCUGUAAAUCCUAUUUAAUUAUCUGAUUAUUGUUUUGGGGUGUAAAUACAAGACAGUUGAUCAAUCGAGAAGAAAUUUCAGACCAGACAAGUUCUUUCGUUAACUUGGAAUGUGGACAUUUUUAAAGUGGGAAAAUAGUUAUCCUGAAAUUAAAUCUAUGCUGUGGCCUUGCUUCUUUUGUGCCAAAAUCGGCAAUGUAAAGAGCAUACAUUUUCUGAUAUUCCAAGAGUAGAAAAAGGGGCAUACAUUGAAAGGUUUAGUCGCCAAGUACUUUGGUUAACGAGUUCUCUUUAAGAGGUCACUUACUGCAUGAGGAAAAUAGUAGUUUGUGUUGUUUCUCAACAGUUCUUCAAUCCUGCAUGUAAAAUUGUAAUCAUUAGCUGUAUGGGUGGAGUGGAACACACAGAAGCUGGCUGUGCUUAGUAUUUUAUGCACUAUUUAUUUGUCAUGAUAUGUUUUUUGUUUUCUUUUGGUUUUAAGUGUGAUAUAUUAGGAAUAUAUAAGCACAAUGCUAGGGAAAAUGUGGAGUAGGAAGACAGUUAUAAAAAUAGGAUAUGAAGAACAUAUGGCUUUGGACUGAUGAGGGAAUUCCUGGCUUCAAGGACUGAUACGUGGAUGCUAAAAAGCCAUGACUUCUGCCUGGUGAGAGCUGAUUCUGUCUCUAUGAGAAAAAAGAAAUGGGAAAAGCAGUGAGCUGUCUGUGUUUGUCUAUUCUUUGUUUGCUGCCUGUGUUUAGAAAGGUCCCUUUUAAAUUAAAAUUGGCAGUUUGAAUGAAUCAGCCUUGAUUUGAAGCCUGCAGUUGUUGCUCAAAACUGACACAACUAGGCUGGUUCCAAUGGAAAGUGUUUUCUAGAAGUAUGUGAAUGCUAUCCAUAUGCAGUAGUCCCUGAACACUAGCCUCACUGUUAUACUGGAACAAAUAGUACUUUAAGGCUUAUGCACAAUCUCUCUUCCUCUUUUUAUGCAGAAAUAUGCUUAUGCAGAAACAGGAAGCUGUAUUCCAAUGCUCUCUACAGCUGCUGUGGAGAUAAGCUUUUUCUGUCUGGAAAGAUGAAGAACGGGUAUGUUUUCCAUGGAGUUCAAAAGAACCCACAUUUUGUUUUGCCAUAUACUGCUCAAACCGCAUGUCUCUUUCCUCCUCCUUAGAUUGUAACUGGCACAUUGAGUUAGUGAAGAUGCAUGUUUAUCGAUCAUGCUGUGCUAACUAUAUCCUUUUCUAUAAUAUUUCAGCAACUAUGGGGAAAGGCAUGGCCAAAUUUUAAUUUAGCUUAAAACAAAUAAUCACUGCUGUGUAUUUUUGUCAUAUUAAAAACAGGUUAUUAAUUGUACCUGUAAAAAUAUUCAGAACACAUGGACUACUUUGCCUUU
Molecule: long non-coding RNA, 3700 nt
Organism: Oxyura jamaicensis (ruddy duck)
Lineage: Eukaryota; Metazoa; Chordata; Aves; Anseriformes; Anatidae
Exons: 3
Source: RefSeq, a predicted model, not a curated record